Long non-coding RNA from Oxyura jamaicensis (ruddy duck), 507 nucleotides. RefSeq lists it as uncharacterized. The transcript is spliced from 2 exons. NCBI's taxonomy places the organism in Eukaryota, Metazoa, Chordata, Aves, Anseriformes, Anatidae. The record is from RefSeq and is a predicted model, not a curated record.
UUUUAUCCCUUGAGACAAGGCUCAAUGGCUUUUUCUCAAAGCCUCUUUGCCAAGGGGGAGCCAUACAUUACCCUUACAAGUUGUUUUUAUUUAUUUCCUGUUUUUAUCUUCUGCAUAUAGAUUCUGUGCCUUGAAACAUGAAUGUCAUGUCUUAGAUUCCUUGUGUUAACAAGGCAGGAAUGCAGUGCUGUGUUUAACACAGAAAAUGGAAAAGCCUGCUUUAAAGACUCCAGAUCUUCCUGAGACUCCUGCCUUUGAAAAGCCGUUUGUUCCAAGUGUUCCAAGUUACAGACUAUCGAAGGACAAUAAACUAGAGCCAACAGUUUGCUGUUUGUGGCAGGUUUUAUAGCCAUGAGUAGAUAUCAGCCUAUUUGCUGAGAAGCAGGAACUGUUGCUUAGGCUCUUUUUCAGCAAGAAUAGGCUUCCUUACAGUUUGUGCCACAGCACUGCCCUGCAAAAGGCAUAAAUAAAACCUGGGCAGUAACAGAUAUACUCUACAUGCUUUUU